GGGAAAAAAAGGAAACCGAACAUCCCUUUGUCGACGCACAUCGUAGCAGAAUUACAGACGGUGCGUUUGAAGCCGUUAGAAGGCGCGCAAGCAUUAUCAACUGAGGAUUUAUCUGCUGGAUAUUUGGAGCACAAAUGAGAACAGCUCAAGAAGAAGAAACUAUAGCCUGGAAUCCUAAACCUCUGGCCUGCUAUGUCCCCUUGUCAGCAUCUUCUCAAUGGAAGUCCUUCAAUUUCAGAAACACAGACAUAACCAGAGGAGACUAUCUCAGAUGGCAAAUGAGAUUUUAAGAUCAAAGUCAAAUUAAUGUUUAUAAAUAUUUUGGUGACUUAUUUGAAGGACACUAAAAAAAUCUGACUACAUUAAGAUCUGAAAGCAGCCUGAUAUAUAACAAUCACAGCAAAAUUACGUUUAGUCAACAUUUUAUAAGCAUAUUUUUAGUAGAAGAUUUAAUGUUCUAACACCUAGGCAGGCCUCGACUAUUUCUGGAUGCCAGCACAUAAUUUGAAACCUGAACAUAGGAUCAAAUAAUUCUGAAACAAUUUCUGUUCUUAUUUACACUGGUGUACAUCUUAAGUAAUUCCAUGAAACUAUUUAGAACGAGAGAAAUUGGCAGAGCAUGUCAACUGGAUAAAAGAAACUGAAAAGCAGAAUUUAAAAUAAAAAAGCCAACAUUUAGCCCAAGUGCUUACAGAAACUACUCACAAAACAUCAUAAAGGGCAGAAAAUUAAUGUUUUAGGAUUUUAACUUUAGGUGCCUAAAUCAGUACACUGGUGUUUCUUCUCAGGUUUGGUUUUCAUAAUAGAGUUUUUUAAAGCAAACUUUUGAGUAUCCACUAAAUAGAUUCCUGCCUGAAUUAUUCCCUGGAACACCUUGUCUGACUACACUGUCUAAAUCCAGUUUAAGGACCUUAAGCAUCAUGCCUGAAGAAGGUGCAAUAACCCCACAAUCUCUUCAUCUCACAACAAGCCACUUGGAUUUUGGUCUGAACAAGAAUAAUCUCAAUAAAGAAGGUUGUGCCCUGUACUCUGUCCACCUCACUUGCAUUAGUCAAAGUAAAAAUAUAAAAAAAUCCUCCAGCUAAAAAUAUUUAUAGAAAAGAUUGAUUAGAAAGUUAUUUAUCAACCAUAAUCUUGGACAUUGAAAAUAUCUUCUAUUUAGCACAUUCUAUCCAAAUGUAGAACCUAUGCCACAAAUAGUACAUUGUCAAUAGUGCAGAAUUGAAAUGGGAAGUUUCUAUAAAUCUGUCAAAUUUAUAUUUUGGAGCUGCAUUUAUUAAGGAAAAUAACUACUAAACAAUGAUCAGUAUUACAGCUGCAUUUUCCCUCUAAUCUCAGGAAAAGAUUAGAAACUGUAAAACCAUAUAUAAAUCAAAACCAUUUCCAAGGCCCUAAGGGCCUUGAUUUCUCCUGAGUAAUGAGUUCUAUUCCUUCGUCUCUUAAAAAUGUGUUUAUUAACAUUAAUAAAAUUUACAAUCAUGUGCAUUAAACAACCUUGUUUGGUCAUUUUCCAAGCAGCCUCUUAAAUGUGUGCUUCAGAGGAGCAUUAUUUAAUGCCAGUAUUACCAUGUUUUUAUUAUUGUUGUUAUUUCAGAAAAAUAUUGUAUUUAGUUAUUUGCUUGGCUACCAAUAGGAAUACCUUAGUUCAAAAAAUUUGUCCCUUUUCACAUAGUAACGCUUCCUGUAAAGCUCUGUAGGUUGUUUCCAAUACCUUCUUGUAUUUAUAUUUAAACCAGCACAAUUCUGCAUUUUCUUUUACUUUUUCAAAUAAACUAAUUUAAUUUGUAA
Long non-coding RNA from Harpia harpyja (harpy eagle), 1788 nucleotides. RefSeq lists it as uncharacterized. The transcript has 2 exons. Lineage: Eukaryota; Metazoa; Chordata; Aves; Accipitriformes; Accipitridae. The record is from RefSeq and is a predicted model, not a curated record.